Molecule: long non-coding RNA, 549 nt
Organism: Prunus dulcis (almond)
Lineage: Eukaryota; Viridiplantae; Streptophyta; Magnoliopsida; Rosales; Rosaceae
Exons: 3
Source: RefSeq, a predicted model, not a curated record
CCCUCUCCCGCGACGCAGCUCGGGUCCUCACUUCCAGUCGCUCCCGUCGCCACCUCAGGGCAACUCGAUCUCCGGCAAGGGCACCAUCACGUCCGCCUUGGUCUCGCCGAUCUUCCCCGACCAGUCGCCGGCCGUGGCACGCCUGGAAACGAUCGGAAACUGCAGAUUUCCGACGGAGCUCGCCCGAACUUCUCUCCUCUCGAUCUCCUCCGUUUCUCAACCAAAUCAGUCGAGUGAGGCACCAGGAGUCCGCCUAAUCAUCAGGAGGGACCCUCGAGAGGUCCAGCUAGCUCGGACCAGCAGCCUUAGAAGAACGAAGGAAACCACCCGGGCCAUCAGCUUAGCUCCCGCCCCACCACCAAAGUGUAUGAUUUCGUUGUAACUCUUUUGUUAAUCCUGUAAAUUUUGUAUAAACAUGCUCUGAUAACCUGUUGAACAUAAGAAACUGGAGUUGUGACCUGUUUGUUGACGUAGUCUGGUUGUUGGUAGGAUUUUGAAAUUGUUUGGCAGGUGGAAGACUUUGGGUAUGGUCAAUUUACAGGGGAGACU